UUUCCAUUCGACUUUGUAAACUAAUCUGUCCCACCUCUCUUCUUCACUUGUUAACACCGCAAAGGGUGGAGAACAUCCAAAAACGUUACAAUUUGGAUGUAACAUCAUAUUUUCUUUUAAAAAACAUAUAUUGUGUCAUCGAUCUAAUAAACAUCGAUCCUUACAAAUCUUUAGAUUUCCACAUCAUCACACCUAGACCCGCCAUUGUAUAUGUACACUAGAUUAGAUACUUGUGUAUUACACGAGUUAAAUACAGGAAAUUUUCGAGAGGUAGUGAGGUUUGUGAGAUUAAAUUAUGGUUCGUCAAGCUUUUCAGCCAAGUCGAUAGCCGUUUGUUGGAGUGAUUCGCAAAUCCCAAAAUAUCUGAUGGCUUGUUACGACCAAGAAGGAAACCACGUUUGGUUCAAUCUAAUCUAAAUCUAAUCUAAAUCUAAAUCUAUUAAUAAGAGAAGUGAAUGAAUAGUACUUUUUUACUUUGUGGUUUCUUCUAAUUGCCAUAUAUGGUCGGUCAUCCUCUCUGUUGUUUUCUGAUUCACCUAUUUAGGUGGUCAUCCUCCCCUUGAGACAUGUGGCUUCUGCCUUUUGCCCCUUGAAAACCCUUAAGAGGAGAGAGAACGAGAAAAUAGAGGGGAAGGGAAGAGGAGAGGGAGGGAAAGGGUCACCGCCGCUGUUGUCGCCAUGUUGCAGUGGUGUUUUGUUGUUUGGGGUUUUUUUGCCUAAGUAGAGAGAGAACGUGAAGAGAGAGAAAGAAGGGGAGAGAGAAGAGAGAGGAGCGGUGACCAAAGGGUCACUACCACGGCCACCACAGUUUUUGUUCGUGAUUGGUUCCGAUUGAACUAUUUGGGCAAUAAUCCUCUCUUGAAACAUGUUUUCCUCCUUUAUACCUUAGCCCUCUUAAAGAAAAUGUCAGGGCGGUGACCGGAGGGUCACCACCGGUGGAUUAAGUCCGUCUUGGCGACGACGAAUUUUAAACCCUGCGAUGAUGUUGGCUUGCUACCUGGUAUGGCAACUCCGGUUGCAACCGUCGCGCCACUGACCACCGGUGGAUUAAGUCUGUCUUGGCGACGACGAUUUUUAAACCCUGCGAUGAUGUUGGCUUGCUACCUGGUAUGGCAACUCCGGUUGCAACCGUCGCGCCACUGAGAUGGUUCAACGACGAUGAUGAUCUUCUCAGAUCUGAGUCGAUUUGUGUUGGUAUUUUCGUUUUAUCUUUCUGAGAGAGAUUAGAUUAUUGUGUUAGUAGUGUUGGUCAUGUUGUUGUUGGUCGUGAUAUUGGUGGUUACAGACUGUGUAUAUGUCUAUUUGAUGGGGAUUUGAAACAUUGUUCGAUGAUGAUGGUUGCUUGCUACUUGGCGUGGCAACUCUGUUUGCGCUCGUACCAGCGCUGAGCCGUAUUUGGCGAUGAUGAAGUGCCAUUCUGAGCCUUUUCGCUUUGUCAUGAGUCGAAUGGUUUUGUAGUUUCCGUUUUCUACAAGUUUUUUUCGCUUUUUUACCCAUCAAUAAGUUAUUUAUUUAGAAGGUUGAAAUACAUACGUACAGGUUAUAUGUUUUGUUCAUCUUAUUCUUAUGUAUAUUUGUUUUUUAUGACAUCACACUUACAUUUGGUUAUUUAUUAAUAUAUUAAAUAGAUUAUUCUAUUUUCUUGAGAUUUGUUACGGGAAAACAUGAAUAGUUCAAUGGCUAAUGAUUUAUUUGGCAUUUAUGGGCAACAGGUAUGUCAUGAAAUGCAAAUGAAUGACAAAUUUAGUGAUUUCUCCUGGAUCAGGGAAAACAUGUAUUAAACCGGAGCACUCGGAUCCAUGAUGACUCUCGCAUCAGGAUUAUGCAGAGAUAUAAAGCCAGUAACAUACUUCUUGAUGACAAUAUUUCAACCAAGAAUUGGAGAUUUUGGGCUGGCCAGAUUUUUUCUUAAGGAUUAAGCUUAUGCAUGAAAGUUGUAUGAAAGAUCAAGAAUGGUUGACCUAAUAGAUACAAGAUUGAAGAGUGAUGGUUUUGUUGAAAGGGAUGUUAUGCAAACGAUUCGGGUAGCUCUAUUGUGUAUUCGGCUGUUCAGCCUCUUGCUAACUUGAGCCCACCAAUGCUAGAGAUUGUAUCAAUGUUAUAACAUGGAAGGUGGAAAUGGUCAAAACGACUCAGAAAGGAUCUUGAGAACCCAUCUCUGAUUAUUUCCCUUCUCCACUCGAAACAGAAUCACCCAACUUGACUCAGCCUCCAAACUCUUGCAGCAAGGAAAGAAGAAUGAAAGAAUGGUAGAUAAAAAACACUAUUUGAUUGCAAGGUACUGACCCGUGUGUUAAUACAAGCAGGUAUCGUUCCACUUUAUCCCACGCAUUGAUUUGCUUUUUGUAGACAAACAGUUCAAGUAAAUAGUAUGUGUAUGUGAAGAAAGAUUUAAUUUACAAAAUGUUUCUUCCUUUAAAUUCCAUAUUUGUGUAGAUAAAUUCAUGUUUUGGUUGAUUACCUUGAGAUGAUCCACACAACAUGUGGUUUGUUUGAUUGAUUAUCAUGACAUGACCAAGUUCUGAUGGUCA
Long non-coding RNA from Helianthus annuus (common sunflower), 2531 nucleotides. RefSeq lists it as uncharacterized. The record is from RefSeq and is a predicted model, not a curated record. NCBI's taxonomy places the organism in Eukaryota, Viridiplantae, Streptophyta, Magnoliopsida, Asterales, Asteraceae. The transcript has 3 exons.